CCCUUAGAUGUUCUGGGCUGCACGCGUGCUACACUGAUAUUGCCAAUAUGUCAUUCUUAUCCGAAAUGGAUUGGGUAAUCAAGUAAUGAAAUUUCAUGCUUGGAAUCGGUAAUUGCAAUUUUAUCGUGAACGAGGAAUUCCUAGUAAGCGCAAGUCAGCAGCUUGCGCUGAUUACGUCCCUGCCCUUUGUACACACCGCCCGUCGCUCCUACCGAUGGGUGAUCCGGUGAAUGAUUCGGACUUCAGCGGCUCCUCUGGGGUGCGCCGGAGAAAGUUUUGUGAACCUUAUCACUUGGAGGAAGGAGAAGUCGUAACA
This 316-nucleotide ribosomal RNA is filed under the name uncultured eukaryote. RNAcentral's name for it is "partial 18S ribosomal RNA". It matches the Rfam family "Eukaryotic small subunit ribosomal RNA", at positions 1470 to 1796 of the family's 1831-position model. The record is from RNAcentral.